This 251-nucleotide ribosomal RNA is filed under the name uncultured bacterium. RNAcentral describes it as "partial 16S ribosomal RNA". It matches the Rfam family "Bacterial small subunit ribosomal RNA", at positions 57 to 305 of the family's 1533-position model. The record is from RNAcentral.
GCAAGUCGAGCGGGAACAGAGAUAGCUUGCUAUCUGCUGACGAGCGGCGGACGGGUGAGUAAUGCUUGGGAAUAUGCCUUUAGGUGGGGGACAACAGUUGGAAACGACUGCUAAUACCGCAUGAUGUCUACGGAGCAAAGUGGGGGACCUUCGGGCGUCACGCCUAUAGAUGAGCCCAAGGGGGGUUAGCUAGUUGGUUGAGGUAAAGGCUCACCAAGGCAACGAUCCCUAGCUGGUUUGAGAGGAUGAUC